UACGAAGGGGGCUAGCGUUGCUCGGAAUCACUGAGCGUAAAGCGCACGUAGGCGGCUUUUUAAGUCAGGGGUGAAAUCCUGGAGCUCAACUCCAGAACUGCCUUUGAUACUGGGAAGCUCGAGUCCGGGAGAGGUGAGUGGAACUCCGAGUGUAGAGGUGAAAUUCGUAGAUAUUCGGAAGAACACCAGUGGCGAAGGCGGCUCACUGGCCCGGUACUGACGCUGAGGUGCGAAAGCGUGGGGAGCAAACAGG
Molecule: ribosomal RNA, 253 nt
Filed under: uncultured bacterium
Lineage: Bacteria
Description: partial 16S ribosomal RNA
Rfam family: Bacterial small subunit ribosomal RNA
Source: RNAcentral